Microtus ochrogaster (prairie vole) is the source of this 490-nucleotide long non-coding RNA. RefSeq lists it as uncharacterized. The record is from RefSeq and is a predicted model, not a curated record. Lineage: Eukaryota; Metazoa; Chordata; Mammalia; Rodentia; Cricetidae.
CCCCAGUGGGGCCACACCCAUUGGCCUGGCUCCGCCCCUGGGCAGUGCCAGGGCCGUCCCCCUCGUGCAUUGGGCACCUCCCCGGGUUUUAAAGAGAUACUCUGUGUGCAGAAGGUCCAGGCCUGCGUGGUGCUUCGGGAGACCACAACAUCAUCCUGACAUUGACAUUUGAAGACUGAGAAAGCUAGUUUUGCCUGGCAGACAGCAUCAAAUCGUGAAACCUAGAUCUGAAAUCUCUGUCUUCUACCUGUCUGCUGCAGUUCCUAACCCAGAAAUGGGCCUCAUCUGUGUAAGAACAGUGUGAUAGCCUUCUGAGGAACAGAGAACAGAUUACAGAGGAAUAAGGGUCGGGGAUGGCGCAGGCACUAAACAAAUUGUAGCUGUUUUCCUUCCUCUGCCUUCCUUCUCUACUUGAGAGGAUAGAAAGCUGCGGAUUCCUUGCGAGCAAAUAUGGUUUGAUCAAAUAAGACCCCAUGAAGCAAUGGCCCAG